CAGCCGCCGCGGUAAAACGUAGGUGGCAAGCGUUGUCCGGAAUUAUUGGGCGUAAAGGGCUCGCAGGCGGUUUCUUAAGUCUGAUGUGAAAGCCCCCGGCUCAACCGGGGAGGGUCAUUGGAAACUGGGAAACUUGAGUGCAGAAGAGGAGAGUGGAAUUCCACGUGUAGCGGUGAAAUACGUAGAGAUGUGGAGGAACACCAGUGGCGAAGGCGACUCUCUGGUCUGUAACUGACGCUGAGGAGCGAAAGCAUGGGGAGCGAACAGGAUUAGAUACCCGCGUAGUCCCUGUCUCUUAUAC
RNAcentral lists this ribosomal RNA (301 nucleotides) under uncultured bacterium. Its description in RNAcentral is "partial 16S ribosomal RNA". It matches the Rfam family "Bacterial small subunit ribosomal RNA", at positions 509 to 807 of the family's 1533-position model. The record is from RNAcentral.